RNAcentral lists this ribosomal RNA (498 nucleotides) under uncultured bacterium. Its description in RNAcentral is "partial 16S ribosomal RNA". It matches the Rfam family "Bacterial small subunit ribosomal RNA", at positions 28 to 506 of the family's 1533-position model. The record is from RNAcentral.
GAUGAACGCUGGCGGCGUGCCUAAUACAUGCAAGUCGAGCGAACAGACGAGAGUGCUUGCACUCUCUGACGUUAGCGGCGGACGGGUGAGUAACACGUGGGUAACCUACCUAUAAGACUGGGAUAACUUCGGGAAACCGGAGCUAAUACCGGAUAAUAUUUAGCUUCGCAUGAAGCAAUAGUGAAAGACGGUUCUGCUGUCACUUAUAGAUGGACCCGCGGUGUAUUAGCUAGUUGGUGAGGUGACGGCUCACCAAGGCAACGAUACAUAGCCGACCUGAGAGGGUGAUCGGCCACACUGGGACUGAGACACGGCCCAGACUCCUACGGGAGGCAGCAGUAGGGAAUCUUCCGCAAUGGACGAAAGUCUGACGGAGCAAUGCCGCGUGAGUGAAGAAGGUUUUCGGAUCGUAAAACUCUGUUGUAAGGGAAGAACAAGUACGUUAGUAACUGAACGUACCUUGACGGUACCUUACCAGAAAGCCACGGCUAACUACGU